Molecule: ribosomal RNA, 429 nt
Filed under: Bacteroidota bacterium
Lineage: Bacteria; Pseudomonadati; Bacteroidota
Description: Bacteroidetes bacterium partial 16S ribosomal RNA
Rfam family: Bacterial small subunit ribosomal RNA
Source: RNAcentral
UAGGGAAUCUUCCGCAAUGGACGCAAGUCUGACGGAGCAACGCCGCGUGAGUGAAGAAGGAUUUCGGUUCGUAAAACUCUGUUGUUAGAGAAGAACAGCGCAUAGAGUAACUGUUAUGCGUGUGACGGUAUCUAACCAGAAAGCCACGGCUAACUACGUGCCAGCAGCCGCGGUAAUACGUAGGUGGCAAGCGUUGUCCGGAUUUAUUGGGCGUAAAGCGGGCGCAGGCGGUCAAUUAAGUCUGAUGUGAAAGCCCCCGGAUCAACCGGGGAGGGUCAGUGGAAACUGGGUGACUUGAGUGCAGAAGAGGAGGGUGGAAUUCCAUGUGUAGCGGUGAAAUGCGAAGAUAGAUGGAGGAACACCAGUGGCGAAGGCGACUCUCUGGUCUGUAACUGACGCUGAGGCUAGAAAGCGUGGGUAGCAAACAGG